RNAcentral lists this ribosomal RNA (508 nucleotides) under uncultured bacterium. RNAcentral's name for it is "bacterial SSU rRNA". It matches the Rfam family "Bacterial small subunit ribosomal RNA", at positions 21 to 518 of the family's 1533-position model. The record is from RNAcentral.
GGCUCAGGAUGAACGCUAGCUACAGGCUUAACACAUGCAAGUCGAGGGGCAGCAUUGGGAUAGCUUGCUAUUCAGAUGGCGACCGGCGCACGGGUGAGUAACGCGUAUCCAACCUUCCUGCCAGUAGGGAACAGCCCGGCGAAAGUCGGAUUAAUGCCCUAUGUUCUUCAAUGCGGACAUCUAAGUUGAAGGAAAGAUUCAUCGCUGGCAGAUGGGGAUGCGUCCGAUUAGCUUGCCGGCGGGGUAACGGCCCACCGGGGCGACGAUCGGUAGGGGUUCUGAGAGGAAGGUCCCCCACACUGGUACUGAGACACGGACCAGACUCCUACGGGAGGCAGCAGUGAGGAAUAUUGGUCAAUGGGCGUAAGCCUGAACCAGCCAAGUAGCGUGCAGGAAUGACGGCCCUACGGGUUGUAAACUGCUUUUAUGCGGGGAUAAAGUGCGGCACGUGUGCCGCUUUGCAGGUACCGCAUGAAUAAGGACCGGCUAAUUCCGUGCCAGCAGCCGC